CUGAACUUUCCACUACUCCUGAACUGUCCAACACUACUGAACACAAUGCACCUACUGAACAGUCCACUAUUACUACUGAGCUGUCCAUAAUUACUACUGAACAUACUACAGCUUCUUCUGAACUGUUCAGCACUACAGCUGACCACACCUUGGCAUCUAAUGAACUGUCUUCAACGGAACAUAGCAGACCUUCUUCUGAUCUGUCCACGAAUACCACACCAUCUCCUGGAUUGUCCAUUGCUAGUACUGAACUUAACAAAGCUUAUACUGAAUUGUCAUCUAUCACUACUCAGUAUACAACACCUUCUGUUCAGCAUUUCACAACUCCUGCUCAACAUUCCAUAACAUCUAGUCAGCAUAAAACUUCUACAAUACAGUCCAUAGCUUCUGCUGAGCAUGUUAGAGCUUCUGCUGAACAUUUCAUAACUUCUACACAGCAGGCUUCAGCUUCUACUGAACAUACCAAAACUUCUACUCAGCAUACCACAGUUUCUGCUGAACACAAGACAGCGUCUACUGCUCCAUCCACUACUAUUACUGAAUACACCACAGCUUCUACUAAACACACCUCAGCUUCUACUCAGCAUACCGCAGCUUUUAUUGAACAUAACACAGUGUCUAAUUUGUCCAGUGGUCAGAUUGAACACUCUACUGUUUCUUCUGUGCUGUCCACUAUAUCUGAACAUACCACAGCUUACACUGGACUUUCUAAUGGUGAACGUACUAUAGCAUUUACUGGACUGUCCACUUCCACAAAACAUACCACUGCUCCUGCUGUACGGUCCACCUAUACUACCACUAAAAACAACACUUUUUCAGAAAAGACCACUCCCAUUGAACAUAGCACAGCACCUACUAGACUGUCCACUGCUUCUGUAGACACUACGGGGGCUACUGAACUGUCAGUUUCUACACUAGACUAUAUAACUCAAUUUCCAGAGCUGAGGGAGCUAUCAACUAGUUCUACAGAAUGGAUCCACAGUAUAGCUAAACUAUUCCCUGCCAUCAAAGUUCCUGUUAGUACCACUCAGCUACCCCCGACUACAAUAUUUCAAUCACCCAUUAGCACUCAACUUACUACUCAACUCGAGUCUACCACCACUUCCAAAGAGCUCCCAACUCUUCCAAAUAUGCCCUCCAG
Molecule: long non-coding RNA, 1141 nt
Filed under: Scleropages formosus (Asian bonytongue)
Lineage: Eukaryota; Metazoa; Chordata; Actinopteri; Osteoglossiformes; Osteoglossidae
Description: lncRNA (ENSSFOG00015024364.1)
Source: RNAcentral